GGGUGGGAGGGGGUAACUUGGGGGUUGUUUCCGUAUGGGGGGUACGCGGAGGGAUCAUUACCGAGUUUACAACUCCCAAACCCAAUGCGAACGUUACCAAACUGUUGCCUCGGCGGGAUCUCUGCCCCGGGUGCGUCGCAGCCCCGGACCAAGGCGCCCGCCGGAGGACCAACCAAAACUCUUAUUGUAUACCCCCUCGCGGGUUUUUUUAUAAUCUGAGCCUUCUCGGCGCCUCUCGUAGGCGUUUCGAAAAUGAAUCAAAACUUUCAACAACGGAUCUCUUGGUUCUGGCAUCGAUGAAGAACGCAGCGAAAUGCGAUAAGUAAUGUGAAUUGCAGAAUUCAGUGAAUCAUCGAAUCUUUGAACGCACAUUGCGCCCGCCAGUAUUCUGGCGGGCAUGCCUGUCCGAGCGUCAUUUCAACCCUCGAACCCCUCCGGGGGGUCGGCGUUGGGGAUCGGCCCUCCCUUAGCGGGUGGCCGUCUCCGAAAUACAGUGGCGGUCUCGCCGCAGCCUCUCCUGCGCAGUAGUUUGCACACUCGCAUCGGGAGCGCGGCGCGUCCACAGCCGUUAAACACCCAACUUCUGAAAUGUGACCUCGAUCAGGGUAGGAAUCCCCAAUUC
This 622-nucleotide ribosomal RNA is filed under the name Trichoderma harzianum. Its description in RNAcentral is "eukaryotic LSU rRNA". The stretch from base 262 to 415 matches the Rfam family "5.8S ribosomal RNA". Lineage: Eukaryota; Fungi; Ascomycota; Sordariomycetes; Hypocreales; Hypocreaceae. The record is from RNAcentral.